CAGUCGCCCGGGAAUACGUAGGUGGCAAGCGUUGUCCGGAAUUAUUGGGCGUAAAGGGCUCGCAGGCGGUUUCUUAAGUCUGAUGUGAAAGCCCCCGGCUCAACCGGGGAGGGUCAUUGGAAACUGGGAAACUUGAGUGCAGAAGAGGAGAGUGGAAUUCCACGUGUAGCCGUGAAAUGCGUAGAGAUGUGGAGGAACACCAGUGGCGAAGGCGACUCUCUGGUCUGUAACUGACGCUGAGGAGCGAAAGCGUGGGGAGCGAACAGGAUUAGAUACCCCUGUAGUCCCUGUCUCUUAUACA
This 301-nucleotide ribosomal RNA is filed under the name uncultured bacterium. Its description in RNAcentral is "partial 16S ribosomal RNA". It matches the Rfam family "Bacterial small subunit ribosomal RNA", at positions 509 to 808 of the family's 1533-position model. The record is from RNAcentral.